CCUACGGGUGGCAGCAGUGAGGAAUAUUGGUCAAUGGUCGGGAGACUGAACCAGCCAAGCCGCGUGAGGGAUGAAGGUACAGAGUAUCGUAAACCUCUUUUGUCAGGGAACAAAGGCGGGAACGUGUCCACGGAUGAGUGUACAUGAAGAAAAAGCAUCGGCUAACUCCGUGCCAGCAGCCGCGGUAAUACGGAGGAUGCGAGCGUUAUCCGGAUUUAUUGGGUUUAAAGGGUGCGCAGGCGGUGUGGUAAGUAAGCGGUAAAAGGCCGGGGAUUAACCCCGGGCCCGCCGUUAAAACUGGCAGUCUCGAGUUGGAGAGAAGUAUGCGGAAUGCGCGGUGUAGCGGUGAAAUGCAUAGAUAUCGCGCAGAACUCCGAUUGCGAAGGCAGCAUGCCGGCUCCACACUGACGCUGAGGCAUGAAAGCGUGGGUAUCGAACAGGAUUAGAUACCCUUGUAGUC
RNAcentral lists this ribosomal RNA (460 nucleotides) under uncultured bacterium. RNAcentral's name for it is "partial 16S ribosomal RNA". It matches the Rfam family "Bacterial small subunit ribosomal RNA", at positions 338 to 795 of the family's 1533-position model. The record is from RNAcentral.